GACGAACGCUGGCGGCGUGCCUAAUACAUGCAAGUCGAACGCACUCUCGUUUAGAUUGAAGGAGCUUGCUCCUGAUUGAUAAACAUUUGAGUGAGUGGCGGACGGGUGAGUAACACGUGGGUAACCUGCCCUAAAGUGGGGGAUAACAUUUGGAAACAGAUGCUAAUACCGCAUAAAACCUAACACCGCAUGGUGUAGGGUUGAAAGAUGGUUUCGGCUAUCACUUUAGGAUGGACCCGCGGUGCAUUAGUUAGUUGGUGAGGUAAAGGCUCACCAAGACCGUGAUGCAUAGCCGACCUGAGAGGGUAAUCGGCCACACUGGGACUGAGACACGGCCCAGACUCCUACGGGAGGCAGCAGUAGGGAAUCUUCCACAAUGGACGAAAGUCUGAUGGAGCAACGCCGCGUGAGUGAAGAAGGUUUUCGGAUCGUAAAACUCUAGUUGUUGGAGAAGAAUGUAUCUGAUAGUAACUGAUCAGGUAGUGACGGUAUCCAACCAGAAAGCC
This 506-nucleotide ribosomal RNA is filed under the name uncultured bacterium. Its description in RNAcentral is "bacterial SSU rRNA". It matches the Rfam family "Bacterial small subunit ribosomal RNA", at positions 28 to 492 of the family's 1533-position model. The record is from RNAcentral.